RNAcentral lists this ribosomal RNA (263 nucleotides) under uncultured bacterium. Its description in RNAcentral is "partial 16S ribosomal RNA". It matches the Rfam family "Bacterial small subunit ribosomal RNA", at positions 793 to 1055 of the family's 1533-position model. The record is from RNAcentral.
GUCCACGCUGUAAACGAUGGGCACUAGGUGUGGGGGUAUUGACCCCUCCGUGCCGUAGCUAACGCAAUAAGUGCCCCGCCUGGGGAGUACGGCCGCAAGGCUAAAACUCAAAGGAAUUGACGGGGGCCCGCACAAGCAGCGGAGCGUGUGGUUUAAUUCGACGCAACGCGAAGAACCUUACCAAGGCUUGACAUGCUGGUAGUACCGAACUGAAAGGUGAGGGACCCUUCGGGGAGCCAGUGCAGGUGAUGCAUGGCUGUCGU